This 396-nucleotide ribosomal RNA is filed under the name uncultured bacterium. Its description in RNAcentral is "partial 16S ribosomal RNA". It matches the Rfam family "Bacterial small subunit ribosomal RNA", at positions 523 to 918 of the family's 1533-position model. The record is from RNAcentral.
AUACGUAGGGAGCAAGCGUUGUCCGGAUUUACUGGGUGUAAAGGGUGCGCAGGCGGCUUUGCAAGUCAGCUGUGAAAUCUAUGGGCUCAACCCAUAAAUUGCAGUUGAAACUGUAGAGCUUGAGUGAAGUAGAGGUAGGCGGAAUUCCCGGUGUAGCGGUGAAAUGCGUAGAGAUCGGGAGGAACACCAGUGGCGAAGGCGGCCUACUGGGCUUUAACUGACGCUCAGGCACGAAAGCAUGGGUAGCAAACAGGAUUAGAUACCCUGGUAGUCCACGCUGUAAACGAUGAAUACUAGGUGUGGGGGGACUGACCCCCUCCGUGCCGCAGUUAACACAAUAAGUAUUCCACCUGGGGAGUACGAUCGCAAGAUUGAAACUCAAAGGAAUUGACGGGG